Molecule: unclassified non-coding RNA, 405 nt
Filed under: soil metagenome
Description: partial contains 5.8S ribosomal RNA, internal transcribed spacer 2, and large subunit ribosomal RNA
Rfam family: 5.8S ribosomal RNA (bases 1-121)
Source: RNAcentral
GAUGAAGAACGUAGCGAAAUGCGAUAAGUAAUGUGAAUUACAGAAUUCAGUGAAUCAUCGAAUCUUUGAACGCACCUUGCGCCCUUUGGCUAUUCCAGAGGGCAUGCCUGUUUGAGUAUCAUGAACACCUCAACUCUCAUGGUUCUGCCAUGAUGAGCUUGGACUUUGGAGGUCUUGCUGGCCCCUGUGGUCAGCUCCUCUCAAAUGGAUCAGCUUGCCAGUGUUUGGUGGCAUCACAGGUGUGAUAACUAUCUACGCUUGUGGUUUUCCACCAGGUAACCUUCAGUGAUGGAGGUUCGCUGGAGCUCAUAAACGUCUCUCCUCAGCGAGGACAGCUUCUUGAACGUUUGAUCUCAAAUCAGGUAGGGCUACCCGCUGAACUUAAGCAUAUCAAUAAGCGGAGGA